CGGUGUAGCUCAGCGGUAGAGCAACCGCCUCGUAAGCGGUAGGCCGCCGGUUCAAAUCCGGCCACCGGCUCCAGC
RNAcentral lists this transfer RNA (75 nucleotides) under Thermus parvatiensis. RNAcentral's name for it is "tRNA-Thr". It matches the Rfam family "tRNA". Rfam says of the family: Transfer RNA (tRNA) molecules are approximately 80 nucleotides in length. Their secondary structure includes four short double-helical elements and three loops (D, anti-codon, and T loops). Further hydrogen bonds mediate the characteristic L-shaped molecular structure. tRNAs have two regions of fundamental functional importance: the anti-codon, which is responsible for specific mRNA codon recognition, and the 3' end, to which the tRNAs corresponding amino acid is attached (by aminoacyl-tRNA synthetases). tRNAs cope with the degeneracy of the genetic code in two manners: having more than one tRNA (with a specific anti-codon) for a particular amino acid; and 'wobble' base-pairing, i.e. permitting non-standard base-pairing at the 3rd anti-codon position. The record is from RNAcentral. Lineage: Bacteria; Thermotogati; Deinococcota; Deinococci; Thermales; Thermaceae.